AGAAUUUGAUCCUGGUUCAGAUUGAAUGCUGACGGCGUGGAUGAGGCAUGCGAGUCGAACGAAGUCGCAAGACUUAGUGGCGGAAGGGUUAGUAAUACAUGGGUAACCUGCCGUCUACCUCGGAAUAACAGUUGGAAACGACUGCUAAUACCGGAUGAGGUGGUCAUAAGGAAACUUGAGACCAUCAAAGUGGGGGAUCUUCGGACCUUGCGGUAGAUGAGGGGCCCAUGGGAUAUCAGCUAGUUGGUGAGGUAAUGGCUCACCAAGGCUAAGACGUCUAGGCGGAUUGAGAGAUUGACCGCCAACACUGGGACUGAGAACUGCCCAGACUCCUACGGGAGGCUGCAGUCGAGAAUCAUUCGCAAUGGGCGAAAGCCUGACGAUGCGACGCCGUGUGAACGAUGAAGGCCUUCGGGUUGUAAAGUUCUUUCGCCUGGGAACAAGAGAGACCGACGAAUAAUCGGUUAAUUUGAGGGUACUAGGUAAAGAAGCACCGGCUAACUCCGUGCCAGCAGCUGCGGUAAUACGGAGGGUGCAAGCAUUAAUCGGAUUUAUUGGGCGUAAAGGGCGCGUAGGCGGGGAAGUAAGUCAGAUGUGAAAGCCCAGGGCUCAACCCUGGAACAGCAUUUGAAACUGCUUUUCUAGAGGGUAGACGGAGAAAACAGAAUUCCACGUGUAGCGGUGAAAUGCGUAGAUAUGUGGAGGAAUACCGGUGGCGAAGGCGGUUUUCUAGUUUAUUCCUGACGCUAAUGCGCGAAAGCAAGGGGAGCAAACAGGAUUAGAUACCCUGGUAGUCCUUGCCGUAAACGAUGUAUACUAGGUGUAGCCGGACUCAACCCUGGCUGUGCCGUAGCGAACGCGUUAAGUAUACCGCCUGGGGAGUACGCUCGCAAGGGUGAAACUCAAAAGAAUUGACGGGGACCCGCACAAGCAGUGGAGCAUGUGGUUUAAUUCGAUGCAACGCGAAGAACCUUACCCAGGUUUGACAUGCAGAGGACAGCGCCAGAAACGGCGUCUCUCGUAAGAGUCUCUGCACAGGUGCUGCAUGGCUGUCGUCAGCUCGUGCCGUGAGGUGUUGGGUUAAGUCCCGCAACGAGCGCAACCCUUGUCAUUAGUUGCCAACACGUAACGGUGGGAACUCUAAUGAGACUGCCUGGGUUAACCAGGAGGAAGGUGAGGAUGACGUCAAGUCAGCAUGGCCCUUAUGUCUGGGGCUACACACGUGCUACAAUGGUCGGUACAGAAGGCAGCGAAACCGUGAGGUGAAGCAAAUCCCGAAAGCCGGCCCCAGUUCAGAUUGUAGUCUGCAACUCGACUACAUGAAGUUGGAAUUGCUAGUAAUGGCGAGUCAGCAACAUCGCCGUGAAUACGUUCCCGGGUCUUGUACACACCGCCCGUCACAUCAUGGGAGUCGGUCUUACCCGAAGCCGCUGACUUAACCCGCAAGGGGAAGAGGCGUCUAAGGCAAGGCCGAUGACUGGGAUGAAGUCGUAACAAGGUA
This 1501-nucleotide ribosomal RNA is filed under the name metagenome. RNAcentral's name for it is "bacterial SSU rRNA". It matches the Rfam family "Bacterial small subunit ribosomal RNA". The record is from RNAcentral.